Molecule: RNA transcript, 5947 nt
Organism: Mus musculus (house mouse)
Lineage: Eukaryota; Metazoa; Chordata; Mammalia; Rodentia; Muridae
Gene: Scrib
Gene name: scribbled planar cell polarity
Exons: 36
Source: RefSeq, marked validated
UCCCGGCGGGCUGCGCGGCUGGGCGGUUGUCGCGGGCAGCGGCGGCGGUUCCGGCUGCGGUGCUGCGGGCGGAUGAGCUGCUAGGUGAGCAGGCCGGGCGGGAUGCGGAGCCGCCGCCGCGCCCCCAGCGCCUAAGAAAGCGCUGCCGGGUCAGGCCGUGCUGCCAGCUGUGUGCCGCCGUCGGAGCCUACAGCUCGUAUUGAACGCGGGCCGAGCCGAGCGCCGACCCCGGCCACAGUCCGGGACCCGGCUGCCCGCCCCACCCCCGCGCGCGCCGCUCCGCCCGCGCUCGGCGCUCAUGCGGGCCGAGCCCCGCCCCCCGGCCCGAGCCCGCCGAGCGCCUCCCGAGCCCGCGCUCACUGCCCGCCCGCAUCAUGCUGAAGUGCAUCCCGCUCUGGCGUUGUAACCGGCACGUGGAGUCGGUGGAUAAGCGGCACUGCUCGCUGCAGGUUGUGCCAGAGGAGAUUUACCGCUACAGUCGUAGCCUCGAGGAGCUGCUCCUCGACGCCAACCAGCUGCGCGAGCUACCUAAGCCCUUCUUCCGACUGUUGAACUUGAGAAAGUUGGGCCUCAGUGACAACGAGAUCCAGCGGCUGCCUCCUGAAGUGGCCAACUUCAUGCAGCUGGUGGAGCUAGAUGUGUCCCGGAACGAUAUUCCUGAGAUACCUGAGAGCAUAAAGUUCUGUAAGGCUCUGGAGAUUGCAGACUUCAGUGGGAACCCCCUGUCUAGACUUCCGGAUGGCUUCACACAGCUACGCAGCCUGGCUCACCUGGCCCUGAAUGACGUGUCCCUGCAGGCACUGCCUGGAGAUGUGGGCAACCUGGCCAAUCUGGUGACCCUGGAACUCCGGGAGAACCUGCUUAAAUCUCUCCCUGCGUCCCUGUCUUUCCUGGUGAAGCUGGAACAGCUGGAUCUGGGAGGCAACGACCUGGAAGUGCUGCCUGACACCCUGGGGGCUCUGCCUAACCUUCGGGAGCUAUGGUUAGACCGAAACCAACUGUCAGCGCUGCCCCCGGAGCUAGGCAAUCUGCGGCGGCUGGUGUGCCUGGAUGUGUCAGAGAACAGGCUGGAGGAGCUGCCUGUGGAGUUGGGUGGGCUGGCACUGCUCACGGAUCUGCUGCUUUCCCAGAACUUGCUUCAGCGGCUGCCAGAGGGCAUCGGUCAGCUGAAGCAGCUGUCUAUCCUGAAGGUGGACCAGAACCGGCUGUGUGAGGUCACUGAGGCCAUAGGGGACUGUGAGAACCUCUCGGAGCUGAUCCUCACGGAGAACCUGUUAACGGCCUUACCCCACUCGCUGGGCAAGCUGACCAAGCUGACUAACCUCAAUGUGGACCGGAACCAUCUUGAGGUGCUGCCUCCUGAAAUCGGAGGCUGUGUGGCCCUUAGUGUCCUCUCUUUGAGAGACAAUCGCCUGGCUGUCCUCCCUCCUGAGCUUGCCCAUACCGCUGAGCUGCACGUGCUUGAUGUGGCUGGGAACCGGCUGCGGAGUCUGCCGUUUGCGCUCACCCACCUCAACCUCAAGGCACUGUGGCUGGCCGAGAACCAGGCACAGCCCAUGCUCCGCUUCCAGACUGAGGAUGAUGCCCAGACGGGUGAAAAGGUGCUCACCUGCUACCUGCUGCCCCAGCAGCCCCUGCCAAGUCUCGAAGACGCUGGACAGCAGAGCAGUCCCUCAGAGAGCUGUAGUGAUGCCCCUCUGAGCCGUGUCAGUGUCAUCCAGUUCGAGGACACCCUGGAAGGUGAAGAGGAUGCUGAGGAAGCUGCGGCCGAGAAGCGGGGCCUACAGCGUAGGGCCACACCUCAUCCCAGUGAGCUCAAGGUGAUGAAGAGGGGCAUUGAAGAGCGCCGGAAUGAGGCCUUCGUCUGCAAGCCUGACCCCAGCCCACCCUCGCCUUCAGAGGAGGAGAAGAGGCUGAGUGCAGAGUCUGCCUUGAGUGGAGGCUCUGUCCCGUCAGCAAGCACAGCCUCGGAAGGUGAGCCUGAGAUCCUGCCGGCUGAGGUACAAGGGCUAGGCCAGCAUGAGGCCAUGCCUGCACAGGAGGAGUAUACAGAAGACGACUAUAACGAGCCCACAGUGCACUUUGCAGAGGACACACUGAUCCCUAGGGAAGACGGUGAAAGUGAAGAGGGACAGCCUGAGGCUGCCUGGCCGCUGCCUAGUGGCCGGCAGAGGCUCAUCCGCAAAGACACGCCCCACUACAAGAAGCACUUCAAGAUCUCCAAGCUCCCACAGCCUGAAGCUGUCGUGGCCCUGCUGCAAGGGGUGCAGACCGACAGGGAGGGCCCCACUGCAGGUUGGCACAAUGGCCCACACACACCUUGGGCUCCUCGAGCCCAUGAGGAGGAAGAGGAGGAGGAGGAGGAGAACAGGGAUGAGGAGGAAGGCGAGGCCACCACGGAAGAAGAUGACAAAGAAGAGGCUGUGGCUUCUGCUCCCUCUGUCAAGGGGGUGUCGUUUGACCAGGCCAAUAACCUGCUGAUAGAGCCUGCUCGCAUUGAGGAGGAAGAGUUAACACUCACGAUCGUGCGGCAGACGGGGGGCCUGGGCAUCAGUAUCGCAGGGGGAAAAGGCUCUACCCCCUACAAAGGAGAUGACGAGGGCAUUUUCAUCUCUCGAGUGUCUGAAGAGGGCCCUGCAGCCCGUGCUGGAGUCCGAGUUGGUGACAAACUUCUUGAGGUGAAUGGUGUAGCCUUGCAGGACGCAGAGCACCACGAGGCCGUGGAAGCACUUCGGGGGGCAGGUGCUGCUGUGCAGAUGCGAGUGUGGAGGGAAAGAAUGGUGGAGCCGGAGAACGCAGUCACUAUUACCCCCUUACGCCCUGAAGAUGACUAUAGUCCCCGAGAGUGGCGGGGAGGUGGCCUGCGCCUUCCCCUGCUCCAGCCUGAGACUCCUGUAUCCCUCCGUCAGCGUCAUGCUGCCUGUCUCGUGCGCAGUGAAAAGGGGCUGGGCUUCAGCAUUGCUGGUGGAAAGGGCUCCACACCUUACCGGGCUGGUGAUGGGGGCAUCUUUAUAUCCCGCAUUGCAGAGGGAGGGGCUGCUCACCGGGCAGGCACUCUACAGGUUGGCGACCGUGUCCUCUCGAUCAAUGGAGUGGACAUGACUGAGGCCAGGCACGACCAUGCUGUCUCCCUGCUGACUGCUGCUUCCCCUACCAUCUCCCUGCUUCUGGAGAGGGAGACUGGAGGGACUUACCCACCUAGCCCUCCCCCCCAUUCCUCCCCAACCCCUGCUGCUACUGUUGCUGCUACCGUGAGCACUGCUGUCCCCGGAGAACCUCUGCUACCUAGGCUGUCCCCUAGCCUCUUGGCCACUGCCUUGGAAGGACCAUACCCUGUGGAGGAAAUCUGCCUGCCCAGGGCUGGUGGCCCAUUGGGGCUUAGCAUUGUAGGAGGUUCUGAUCACUCCAGCCACCCGUUUGGUGUCCAAGAUCCUGGUGUAUUCAUCUCCAAGGUGCUUCCUCGGGGCCUAGCUGCUCGCUGUGGCCUUCGGGUUGGGGACCGCAUCCUAGCAGUGAAUGGGCAGGAUGUUCGGGAGGCCACACAUCAAGAGGCAGUCAGUGCCCUGCUCAGGCCCUGCCUGGAGCUGUGUCUGCUUGUGCGGAGGGACCCACCACCCCCGGGCAUGCGGGAACUCUGCAUCCAGAAAGCCCCUGGGGAGAAGCUGGGUAUCAGCAUCCGCGGAGGUGCCAAGGGUCACGCGGGGAACCCCUGUGACCCUACAGAUGAGGGCAUCUUUAUCUCCAAGGUGAGCCCCACAGGAGCUGCCGGGCGUGAUGGGCGGCUGCGUGUGGGGCUGCGGCUGCUAGAAGUGAACCAACAGAGCCUGCUGGGCCUUACCCAUGCGGAAGCAGUGCAGCUGCUGCGCAGCGUAGGCGACACCCUUACCGUGCUUGUCUGUGAUGGUUUUGACACCAGCACCACCACAGCCCUGGAGGUGUCCCCAGGUGUCAUUGCCAACCCAUUUGCAGCAGGCCUUGGCCACAGGAACAGUCUGGAAAGCAUUUCGUCCAUUGACCGGGAACUGAGUCCUGAAGGCCCAGGCAAGGAGAAAGAGUUGGCCAGUCAAGCCCUACCCUGGGAGUCUGAGUCUGCAGAGACCACGGGUCGGAAUCUAGAGCCCCUGAAGCUGGACUACCGUGCCCUGGCCGCCCUGCCCAGUGCUGGGAGUUUACAGAGAGGACCAUCUGCGACCACCGGAGGGAAGACGACUGAGGCUCCCUGUUCCCCUGGCAGUCAGCAAACAAAACCGGGGGUGAUCCAGCCAUUGGCUCAGGCCUGGCCAAGGAACUCCCCGGCCCCCAGGGGCAGAGGUGGUCCCUGUUCUCCACCCUCCCCUGAUGAACUGCCAGCCAAUGUGAAGCAGGCGUAUAGGGCCUUUGCAGCUGUGCCCACCGUGCAUCCUCCUGAGAACAGUGCUACCCAGCCUCCCCAGAGCAGCUGUCCUUCCGUGAACGACAAAAGUACUUCGAGCUGGAGGUACGGGUGCCUCAAGCAGAGGGUCCCCCAAAGCGUGUGUCCCUGGUGGGUGCUGAUGACUUGCGGAAGAUGCAAGAGGAGGAAGCUCGCAAGCUGCAGCAGAAGAGGGCACAGAUGCUUCGGGAAGAAGCAGUAACCUCAGGGCCUGACAUGGGGCUCGCCUCAGACAGGGAGUCCCCAGAUGAUCAGCAGGAGGCUGAGCAGCCCUGGGCUGUGCCAAGCCAUGCAGGGGGCUCUAGCCCAUCAUCACCCCCACCCCUGGGAGGCAACGCCCCUGUGAGGACAGCCAAAGCUGAGCGACGCCAUCAGGAACGGUUACGCAUGCAGAGCCCCGAGCUUCCUGCCCCGGAACGGGCCCUGUCUCCUGCAGAGCGACGGGCUCUAGAGGCAGAGAAGCGAGCUCUGUGGAGGGCAGCCAGAAUGAAGUCUCUGGAGCAGGAUGCUCUCCGUGCACAGAUGGUCCUUAGCAAGUCCCAGGAAGGCCGUGGCAAGAGAGGACCCUUGGAACGGCUGGCUGAGGCCCCUUCACCUGCCCCCACCCCAUCACCCACACCAUUGGAAGACUUCGGCCUCCAGACCAGUGCCUCCCCUGGACGCUUGGUAAGGAGCCUAUAUCUAAGACCCUUCCCCCAUACUGUGGCCUGAGGCAGCAGGGCUCUAGACUCCCCCAGCCUCACCUCCCUUGCACUCUGCCUUUCCCUCAUGCUGUCUUUUCAAGCCUUUGUCUGGAAAGAAGUUUGACUACAGGGCCUUCGCAGCCCUGCCCUCUUCCAGACCUGUGUAUGACAUCCAGGUACUGGAGGCCGCUUGGCCCAUCUGCACGCUCCUCCCAGCCCAUCCUUGCCUGUCCCCUGCCUGUCCAGUCCUUUCUGUGCUUCCUACUGUUUCCUGUAUGUGGGGCCUCCCUACCCACCUUGUUUUCAGCCCAGUGUACUCUGACCAAUGACCUAGGCUCUGUGAGCCUAGCCCCAGACAGCCACGCCUGCAUGGGUAAGUUCAGGCAGGUCUGGGACCUGCCCUGACCAGCCUGUCUCCCCAUCAGUCACCAGAUUUCGUGGAGGAGCUGAGGACUUUGGAAGCAUCUCCCAGUCCUGGCUCCCAGGAAGAAGAUGGAGAAGUGGCCUUGGUGCUCCUUGGCAGGCCCUCACCUGGCGCUGUGGGCCCUGAAGACAUGACGCUGUGCAGCAGCCGUCGGUCUGUGCGGCCGGGACGCCGGGGCCUGGGCCCUGUGCCCUCCUAGGGCCAGGUGCCUCCCCAGACUUAGGGUGGGAGCCUGCCAGCUUCAUCACCUCCCUUAUCCCAAGUCUGUUAGCCUUGGUGUUAGCAUUUUAAAGAGACCCCUCAGGAGUUCUGGCUUCUGAUUAACUGCCCCGUAGCCGGGAUCUCGUGGCGAGACUGUAACUAGUGAUGUUUGUACAACCAAAGACUCUAUUUUGUGGUUUAAGAAGAAUAAAGUUACCUACGUUUUAC